UCAGAAGAAAGGAAUCAGCUGAUCGACGGAGUGUGUCGGAGUACCCCGACGUCAGAUCGGAAGCCAGAAAACCCGGUUUUUGUGUCGGCUCCUCCACUGGCUCUGGAGCGGCCUCUAGGUGUGCACGGGACACCGUCCGAAGCGCUUGGGGCCCAACAAAAUGAAGACAAGCAGCACAGCCUACUGGAGAGGGUCCGGGACGGGGAGUCAGUCCACCCGGAUUCACAGUCUAAGCAAGAGGGCAAACAGGCCUUCAAGCUCAUCCGAAAGAGCCCAGGUAACAAAUCUACCUCCGCAGCGGCCGCGACCAGAGCCACCGACCAGCUCUUUUAACCUGGGGUCCUGACGCCUUCCGCUGCCGAGGGCGCUCCGGACCAGGCGGGGACCUCUGCCUCCAGAGAGACAACUGGGACAAAAGUGGGUCCUUCAUUGGCCCAAACUCUCCUUACCUCAAGACGGGGAAGACCCGGACCCUCGCUCAACACUCCAGACGACUUCCUAUCAAUCGGUCCUAUCGAGUGCCGCCACUCUGUGCGAAGCAUCGUACCGAGCGCUUGGGAGAGCACAACGGAGAUUAUAGUAGACGCUCUCCCCACCCUCCGGAGGAUUCAGUGGGGGAGACGCGUGUGACUAUAAAUCAUGAAGAGGCACAGAUUAUGCUCAUCUGAAUUCUACUCUGAACCUUCGAGAGUUAAAGGAAAUUGUGGCCAGAAUUCCUCCGUCUAGAACCAAGGAAACUGGAGGCUAAUGGCAGAGGUAUGGUUCGAGGCCUUAAACCGGGCCAGGGAGUACAAAAGGGGGAGG
Long non-coding RNA from Ornithorhynchus anatinus (platypus), 804 nucleotides. RefSeq lists it as uncharacterized. The transcript has 4 exons. The record is from RefSeq and is a predicted model, not a curated record. NCBI's taxonomy places the organism in Eukaryota, Metazoa, Chordata, Mammalia, Monotremata, Ornithorhynchidae.